UCCUCCCUCUUUCGUCGUGCUUAACACAUGCAAGUCGUACGGUAAGGCCCUUUCGGGGGUGCAGGAGAGUCGCACGGGGGAGUAACACGUAAGUAACCUGCCCACAACUUUGGGAUAACGCUAGGAAACUGGUGCUAAUACUGGAUAUGUGCUCCUGCUGCAUGGCGGGGGUUGGAAAGCUCCGGCGGUUGUGGAUGGACUCGCGUCCUAUCAGCUUGUUGGUGGGGUAGUGGCCUACCAAGGCGGCGACGGGUAGCCGGCCUGAGAGGGUGACCGGACACAGUGGGACUGGGAUACGGGCCAGAGUCCGACGGGAGGCAGCAGUGGGGAAUCUUGCACAAUGGGCGGAAGCCUGAUGCAGCAAGGCCGCGGGCGGGAUGACGGCCUUCGGGUUGGAAAACGAUUUCAGCAGGGACGAAGCUUUUUGUGACGGUACCUGCAGAAGAAGCACCGGCUAACUACGUG
Molecule: ribosomal RNA, 465 nt
Filed under: uncultured bacterium
Lineage: Bacteria
Description: partial 16S ribosomal RNA
Rfam family: Bacterial small subunit ribosomal RNA
Source: RNAcentral